Molecule: long non-coding RNA, 703 nt
Organism: Cyprinus carpio carpio
Lineage: Eukaryota; Metazoa; Chordata; Actinopteri; Cypriniformes; Cyprinidae
Source: Ensembl
AUGGCAACAAAAGGAAAAGAUAGAGCAGCGAUGUUCACGGCAACGGAACAGCGUUUGCUAUUGGAAACAUAUGAAGAAUUUAAAGAUGUCAUCACCAAAAAAGGAAAUAGAGCGGCAAUAAAUAAAGCAAGAGAGAAAGGUUGGCAGGAAAUUGCUGAUCGUCUCAAUGCCAGCAACUUAAGUGAAGGAAAAAGAACCUGGCAGCAGGUGAAAAUAAAAUAUAAAAAUAUAGUUCAGAAUGCAACCAAAAAGACUGAGGUUGCUGGCACUGGGGGAGGGCCACCACUAGCCAGCUUCACUCCUGCAGAGGAGCUGGCUUUGGAAAUUAAUAAAGGGAGGCCCGUCCUUGAGGGAAUAGAGGGGGGGUACAUCAUCUAAAAUUAUAUCACGUAGUAUAAGGAAUUCUGUAUGCUUUAUGGAUCCACCAGACAUCAUGUUGCCUGUGAGUAUGAGACCUUUUAAAUCAGUCAUGUAAGCUAAUGAGUUUAAUUGAGUUUAAUCAGUUGUCACAGGGAGAAGGCCCAUCAGUUGAGGAGGAUGAGGAGACUGUCUGUAUGUUCAAGGAGGCCUGCGGUAGUCACAGGUUCCAUGUGAUACUGUAUUGAAUAUUAAAAAGUGUACUUGUGUGAUAAAAUGAUCAUAAUGUGUUUUCAGGAUGCUGACUGUUCUAGAGCCCCCUCAGUCUGGGACCACAUGUGACAAA